GUAUUGGUGGUCUAGUAGUAUGAUGUCACCCUGCCACGGUGGCGCCCGGGUUCGAUUCCCGGCCAAUGAA
This 70-nucleotide transfer RNA is filed under the name Hofstenia miamia. RNAcentral describes it as "tRNA-Gly for anticodon GCC". It matches the Rfam family "tRNA". Rfam says of the family: Transfer RNA (tRNA) molecules are approximately 80 nucleotides in length. Their secondary structure includes four short double-helical elements and three loops (D, anti-codon, and T loops). The record is from RNAcentral. Lineage: Eukaryota; Metazoa; Xenacoelomorpha; Acoela; Hofsteniidae.